Molecule: ribosomal RNA, 731 nt
Filed under: Scleroderma sp.
Lineage: Eukaryota; Fungi; Basidiomycota; Agaricomycetes; Boletales; Sclerodermataceae
Description: eukaryotic LSU rRNA
Rfam family: Eukaryotic large subunit ribosomal RNA
Source: RNAcentral
UAAUCUAGAGAAGCGUCUUCCGCGCCGGACCGUGUACAAGUCUCCUGGAAGGGAGCAUCGUAGAGGGUGACAAUCCCGUCUCUGACACGGACCGCCGGCGCUAUGUGAUGCGCUCUCGACGAGUCGAGUUGUUUGGGAAUGCAGCUCAAAUAGGGUGGUAAACUCCAUCUAAAGCUAAAUACGGGCGAGAGACCGAUAGCGAACAAGUACCGUGAGGGAAAGAUGAAAAGAACUUUGGAAAGAGAGUUAAACAGUACGUGAAAUUGCUGGAAGGGAAACGCUUGACGUCAGUCGCGUCGUCCGGGGAUCAACCUUGCCCUCUGGCUGGGCGUAUUUCCCGGUCGACGGGUCAGCAUCGAUUUCGACCGUCGUAGAAGGACUGGAGCGAAUGUGGCACUCCACGGAGUGUGUUAUAGCCUCCCGUAUGGAUGCGACGGUCGGGAUCGAGGAACUCGGCACGGCCCCUCGAGGGUUCGGGGCUUCGGUCCACGCAGCGUGCCCAGGAUGCUGGCAUAAUGGCUUUAAGCGACCCGUCUUGAAACACGGACCAAGGAGUCUAACGUGCCUGCGAGUGUUUGGGUGCAAAACCCGAGCGCGAAACGAAAGUGAAAGUCGAGACCUCCGUCGCGGAGGGCACCGACGCCCGGACCGGAGCCUUUGGCGAUGGAUCUGCGGUAGAGCAUGUAUGUUGGGACCCGAAAGAUGGUGAACUAUGCCUGAAUAGGGCGAAG